UGGGGAAUAUUGCACAAUGGGGGAAACCCUGAUGCAGCGACGCCGCGUGAGCGAAGAAGGUUUUCGAAUCGUAAAGCUCUGUCCUAUGGGAAGAUAAUGACGGUACCAUAGGAGGAAGCCACGGCUAACUACGUGCCAGCAGCCGCGGUAAUACGUAGGUGGCAAGCGUUGUCCGGAAUUAUUGGGCGUAAAGCGCGCGCAGGCGGCUACUUAAGUCCAUCUUAAAAGUGCGGGGCUUAACCCCGUGAUGGGAUGGAAACUGAGAAGCUGGAGUGUCGGAGAGGAAAGUGGAAUUCCUAGUGUAGCGGUGAAAUGCGUAGAGAUUAGGAAGAACACCGGUGGCGAAGGCGACUUUCUGGACGACAACUGACGCUUAGGCGCGAAAGCGUGGGGAGCAAACAGG
Molecule: ribosomal RNA, 403 nt
Filed under: Verrucomicrobiota bacterium
Lineage: Bacteria; Pseudomonadati; Verrucomicrobiota
Description: Verrucomicrobia bacterium partial 16S ribosomal RNA
Rfam family: Bacterial small subunit ribosomal RNA
Source: RNAcentral